UGCGUAUUUGGCUCAGGCGGAGCUAGAAGCCUUGGCAGGCUCCGCCAGUUCAAGCGACGAUCGCAUGCACCGACCAGCGUGCCAUCCAUCGGGUUGAGCGGAUCUGCAAGGUGCUUCCGAGCGCCCCU
Regulatory RNA element from Sphingomonas sp., 128 nucleotides. It matches the Rfam family "ALIL pseudoknot". NCBI's taxonomy places the organism in Bacteria, Pseudomonadati, Pseudomonadota, Alphaproteobacteria, Sphingomonadales, Sphingomonadaceae. The record is from Rfam.